UCUGGAAGUGUCCGGAAGAGAGAGAGACAAGUGCAAGUGGGUGGGAUGAUGUGAGGAGAGAGGUGGUGAUAUUUGAACAACCAAAAAUGGAAAAAAAAAAAGAAAAAAAUUAAUUUUAAUUGUGUAGAGAUAUGUUUCCGCGGUAUACUCGUUGUGUCCAACGAGACGUUUCGUUAGGAAACUGAGUUUUCAGCCGUCACGUCGAGCUGCCUCGCUCGGACUCGGAGGACGGAGGAGACCCCGAUUUGCGCUUCGUCGUGCUCCCGGCACCGCGCGAAGUUCCUCGGGCCUCGUUGGAGCUUCACCUGAGGAUUCAGCAUCCUAAUGGGAAGAUGGAUCUGAAAUCCGCUGGAUACCUGCCCAUUUCCGUUAUCCACCAGCUCCACGAAGCUGCUUACAACGGCACCAAAAAGGAAAUGCAAACAAUUUUAGUCUAUGGUCAAAAGCUCUUUGAGCCAGACAUCUGAACAGUUGCGGCGUACAGUGAGAGAAGGACUGAAAACCCGUUCAUAGAGAAAGACA
Molecule: long non-coding RNA, 522 nt
Organism: Scleropages formosus (Asian bonytongue)
Lineage: Eukaryota; Metazoa; Chordata; Actinopteri; Osteoglossiformes; Osteoglossidae
Exons: 3
Source: RefSeq, a predicted model, not a curated record